RNAcentral lists this ribosomal RNA (494 nucleotides) under uncultured bacterium. Its description in RNAcentral is "partial 16S ribosomal RNA". It matches the Rfam family "Bacterial small subunit ribosomal RNA", at positions 29 to 523 of the family's 1533-position model. The record is from RNAcentral.
AUUGAACGCUGGCGGUAUGCCUUACACAUGCAAGUCGAACGGUAGAGGGGCAACCCUUGAGAGUGGCGAACGGGUGAGUAAUACAUCGGAACGUGCCCAGUCGUGGGGGAUAACGUAGCGAAAGCUACGCUAAUACCGCAUACGACCUGAGGGUGAAAGCGGGGGGUCGCAAGACCUCGCGCGAUUGGAGCGGCCGAUGGCAGAUUGGGUAGUUGGUGGGGUAAAGGCCUACCAAGCCUGCGAUCUGUAGCUGGUCUGAGAGGACGACCAGCCACACUGGGACUGAGACACGGCCCAGACUCCUACGGGAGGCAGCAGUGGGGAAUUUUGGACAAUGGGCGAAAGCCUGAUCCAGCCAUACCGCGUGCGGGAAGAAGGCCCUCGGGUUGUAAACCGCUUUUGUCAGGGAAGAAAUCUUCUGGGUUAAUACCUCGGGAGGAUGACGGUACCUGAAGAAUAAGCACCGGCUAACUACGUGCCAGCAGCAGCCGCGG